UCUUCACUGGCUCUGCUGUGGUCUCCGCUCCGCUCCAUCACGCUGUUGCUGUCAUGGCGCUGGCUCAAGGAGGAGGCAAGAAGAAAGUUUGUUAUUAUUAUGAUGGUGACAUUGGGAACUACUAUUAUGGACAGGGACACCCUAUGAAACCGCAUCGAAUCCGUAUGACCCAUAAUCUGUUGCUGAAUUAUGGCUUGUACAGAAAGAUGGAAAUCUAUCGGCCACACAAGGCCACAACAGAGGAGAUGACAAAAUACCACAGUGAUGACUACAUCAAGUUCCUGCGGUCAAUACGACCAGAUAACAUGUCGGAGUACAGCAAACAGAUGCAGAGAUUUAAUGUUGGAGAAGAUUGCCCUGUAUUUGAUGGAAUGUUUGAAUUUUGUCAGUUAUCAACAGGAGGCUCAGUGGCUGCAGCAGUAAAACUCAAUAGACAACAGACUGAUAUUGCAGUCAACUGGGCUGGAGGUCUUCAUCAUGCCAAGAAAUCUGAGGCAUCAGGUUUUUGUUAUGUCAAUGACAUUGUCCUUGCCAUUCUAGAAUUACUGAAAUAUCAUCAAAGAGUUUUGUAUAUUGAUAUUGACAUUCACCAUGGAGAUGGUGUAGAAGAAGCUUUUUACACGACAGACCGUGUCAUGACUGUUUCAUUCCAUAAAUAUGGUGAAUAUUUCCCUGGUACAGGUGAUCUUCGAGACAUAGGUGCAGGUAAAGGCAAAUAUUAUGCAGUUAACUUUCCACUCCGAGAUGGAAUUGAUGAUGAGUCUUAUGAACAGAUAUUCAAACCAAUUUUGACAAAGGUAAUGGAAAUGUACCAACCCAGUGCAGUUGUACUACAGUGUGGAGCUGAUUCUUUAUCAGGCGACAGACUUGGAUGUUUCAAUCUCACAUUAAAAGGUCAUGCUAAAUGUGUGGAAUUUAUGAAGACCUUCAACUUGCCUUUACUGAUGCUAGGAGGUGGAGGGUACACAAUCCGCAAUGUUGCUCGCUGCUGGACAUAUGAGACCGCUGUAGCAUUGGAUACAGAGAUUCCAAAUGAAUUACCGUACAAUGACUACUUUGAAUAUUUCGGGCCCGACUUUAAAUUGCACAUCAGUCCUUCCAAUAUGACGAAUCAGAACACAUUGGAAUACAUGGAAAAGAUUAAAAUCCGGCUAUUUGAAAAUCUACGUAUGCUGCCUCAUGCACCUGGUGUCCAGAUACAGGCUAUUCCAGAGGAUGCUAUUCAAGAAAACAGUGGAGAAGAGGACGAUGAUGAUCCUAACAAACGAAUUUCAAUUCGAGCUUCUGACAAAAGAAUAGCCCGUGAUGAGGAAUUUUCAGAUUCUGAAGAUGAAGGAGAAGGAGGUAGACGAAAUAUUGCAAAUCAUAAGAAAAGUAGCAAGCGAGCAAGAAUUGAAGAAAAGAAGGAACUGGAAGAAAGAAAAAUUGAUGCUGAACAGGAAGACACAGUUAAAGAUAUUACAGAGAAAACUGAUGUAAAAGGAUUAAUUAUAGGGAAAACAAUGUAUUUAUUUGAGCCAUAAUGUCAGCACAGCAGAAAGGAGGUCGCCUCUCAGCCUCCUACACGCCAGUGAAAAAAGUUCCAGCCUAUCCAGCCUUUCUUUAUCACUCAAACUUUGCAUUCCCAGCAAAUCCUGGUAAAUCUCUUCUGAACACUCUCCAGCUUGAAAAUAUCCUUCCUGUAACUAGGUAACCAGAACUGGAUACAGUAUUCCAGAAGACGCCUCACCAAUGUCCUGCAUAACCUCAUCAUGACUUCCCAACUCUUCUACUCAAAGUACUGAAAAACGAAGGAUGAGGGGUGUCGCUGGCCAGGCAAAUUUCACCAUCUGCCAUGACAGGAUUCAAACCCAGGUCCCCAGAAUACUAUGUGGGUCUCUGGAUUAACAGUCCAGCAAUAAUACCACUAGGCCAUUGCCUCCCCUAUUGAGGCAAUAGUUGGAAAAUGAGGGUCUGGGAGCAGACAUUGACUUUACAAACAGAUCGAAUAAAUGCUUUUUGCCUGUAAUUUAGGAAAGUAUGCUCAAUUAACAUGGCUAUAGUUUUAUUUUUCCAUAUAAACUUCAGAUCAUAUUAUUUUCUGUAUUUUUUCACUCAGAAAAUCUGAUGGUGUGCGAUCCAUGGCAACAAGAGAAACAGAAAAUGUAAAAUAAACCGACAUUGAAAGCUUCACUGAUGACUUAAACGUUCAAAAUGAACUGGACCAAAAAUAGUUAAUCUACAAUCUGUACUAAGUUAGCUGAUUUAAGCCAAAAUGGUGAGAGGACUCGCCAAUUGGCUUCAGUCCACUUUGGAUUAGGAAAUGUAAGUAUCAGCCAGGGUUUCUACUCCUGACUGCUAUUCAGAAGUCCCACUAGAAAAUGUAGACAUCGAAUGAGGGCAGAAGAAAAUACUGACCAUAUGUGAAUUCUGUGGUUUUAUAUCAGAGGGGCCUGACACCUGGACAACAUGAUAUCAAUGUGCAAAAUACACAUGGAAAAAAAUGUGAAAAAUAAUAGAUAUCAUUCAACAACAAUCUAUGUAUCAACAAGGGAUACUAGAAAAACACAAACUGAUUAGACAAGGGAAGGAAGUCACAAAACUGCAGGAUUGACUUCAAUUCGGAUAACUGCUCUUUUCUGAUUCUAAAAUGGUGUUCUCAUGUUGUAAAAGUGAAAUCUGAGGCUCAGAAUUUCACAAACCAGUCAUAUCAUUUUAUGGGGUUAAUAAACAUGUUAGACCCUUCAACAGAUAGUAAAAUACUAUGACAUUUUUAUUACAUUCUCCACUUUACAUAAUGCCUUGUUGAUAAGAAGGUGCUGUCAAUGAAGAUCUUAGGAAAAAUCACAAGAAAACCUAAAUAAUACACAAGUGACCACGAAUAACAAAUUUGAGUACACCAUCCCUAAGCACUGUCAGAUAACGGGUGCAGGCAUGACUGGCUGAAUGGUGUUCUAUUGAAGUUAACCUUCUAUGAUUACAAUUGGUAUGUACUCCCCCAAUUUACUCAGGUAAUAUGAUUAUUCAAACAUGUAUAAAAUAAAUAUGGAGUGAUGUUUUUUUUAUCUAAUUACUGCUGCAAAUUAUUGAGGCCUUUUUCAUCUUUCUCGUGCACCUUUGACUUUAGACUCAAUUUUUGCAUUGUGUCUGUCACGUUAAAAAAAACUUUUAACAAAUCUUCCCAAUGCACUUGUCUGAAUGAGUCAAAUAUGUUUAAGUGACUUAAGAUGGCCUUCAGGCUGAAAAUUCAAACAAUAAGUAACAAUCGCUUUUUAGAAAACGGAUCAUGACAUAAUUUGUGCAGCUCACCUGAAUAGGAAAUCUGAGGGGUCAUUUUGAUUUUGUAUGAUAGUGGCCAGUGGGUGAUGGUGAAUAGCUAGUUUGUUUUACGUCCCUUCUCACUUUCAUCAAUCUGGAUUCCGAGGUCAAUAAUGAGAAAACAGUUUUUUCCACUCUUUGCUGACAGAUAUUCUCAGAUUUCACAGGUUUCUUGAGUGGAAACAUGCUCAAAACUGCUGUCUGAUGCAGCACAGCACCUUUUAUGGGGGAUUCGUAGCUACUGCAUGAGGUGCAUCCCCUAUAAGAUAGUAACCACUUGCUUCUUCCCUGCACAGACAUUAAAACAUACCCUACCUGCUCCCCACAACCAAGCCCCAACACCUCCCAACCCACACCCAUCGCCCCCCCCAACCCCACCGCCACCAAAACAGCCCACCUUCCCAUUAAUUACUGGCUAGGUCCAGAAUCCAUUAGGACUUUCAUCCUGGCACCGGCCUCUGCUGAGCCCCAACACUCCAGGAUUCUGGAGCUACUGUCCGAUAAGACCUCUCAGCAACUCUGCAGGAUGGGACCACCUCCUGCUGAGAGGUGGAAAAUCUCACUCUGUGCACUAAUUCAGCCUGUCUGCAGGAGGCAGAUUUCCUUACAUCUGUUGGCUGGCUGUGAACUUUUCUUCUGGGUAAGAUUAAGAAGUAAAUUAUCCUGAAAAGAAAUAUCUUCUACCUCUCUUCUAUUAAUAUCUACCUGCAGAGUCAAAUCUAGCUUGUACAAUGCAAGAAAUAUAAAUUAGGUCUAAAUCAUGUGCAGAAGAGAAAAUGUACACUAAGAUUCAUUAAACUAGACAAGAGACAGAAAAACUUAAACUAAAUUUAUUUUUAAAUUCCCAUUUAGUUUUCUUCUGACAAAAUAAGAAUCCACACUUGUAAAUUAAAAAUGUCAUGCUCAGGGAUAUCUGCAUCAUAGAAUCCCUACAGUGGCUAAAGAGGCCGUUAGGCCCAUCAAGUCUGCACUGACCGCCCAUGCCCAUCCCCACAAAGAGCAUCCCACCCAGGCCCAACCCAUUCCUGUAACCUUGCAUGCAGUUUAUACCAUGGCUACACUACCUACCCUGCAUAUCCUUAGAUAUUACUGGGCAAUUUUAGAAUGGCCAGUUCAUCUAAUCUGACAUCUUUGGACGGUGGGAUGAAACCGGAGCAUCCAACGGAAACCCACACAGACACAGAGUGAAUGUGCAAACCUCACACAAACAGUUGCCUAAGCCUGGAAUCAAACCAAGAUUGCCUUGUUAGAUGGUCAUUUAACUUACUGUUAAAAUCAAGCUGCUCUAUGCACCAACCAUAACUUACCCAAGGGACAAUGGAACUAAUGGAUAAGCAACCCAUUUUCAAACUGUCGCAUUAAUUUAAUUGGCAAGUAUAUUAAAACAUACAGGAAUAGUACACUCUGUGGAGGAGUAGUGUAUCUCUGAAAAUUUAGUUGUUCAUGUGUUGACAUCAGAAGUGGGUGUGGAAUUUACUCCAUUACAAGAAUGAGCACUGUUUGUCUCACUAUUAUUUUGCUUAAGAAAUUAGUCCCAUAACUUAAAUGGAAACAAAAAUUAGUCAUAUUGUUAAUUCAUUAUCAUGUUACAUUUAAUUGCGCAGUCAACAUUAUUGUUGUAUUAUGGUGUAGUUUCCAGAUCAGACAGACACUGUACCUCUAAAACAUAACAUCACACUAUCAGUCAUUCUUUCUGUGCUAAGAAAUCAAUGUUGUGUGCUCAGUCAGCUGUGUGUUAUCAUGUACAGCUAGAUCAUUGAGCACAGAAAUCAGUCCAUGUGUGUACAUCUGCAAUAUUGUAGCUGUGUAAUUAGAUCAUGUUAUUAAUAAACUUCAAGACAUCUGUUUCAA
RNA transcript from Stegostoma tigrinum, 5148 nucleotides. It is a transcript of the gene named histone deacetylase 2, with no coding region annotated. The transcript has 16 exons. The record is from RefSeq and is a predicted model, not a curated record. Lineage: Eukaryota; Metazoa; Chordata; Chondrichthyes; Orectolobiformes; Stegostomatidae.